CCUACGGGUGGCAGCAGUGGGGGAUAUUGCACAAUGGGGGAAACCCUGAUGCAGCGACGCCGCGUGUAGGAAGACGGUCCUCUGGAUUGUAAACUACUGUUCCCAGGGACGAAGAUGACGGUACCUGGGGAGGAAGCUCCGGCUAACAACGUGCCAGCAGCCGCGGUAAUACGCCGGGAGCGAGCGUUGUACGGAAUUACUGGGUGUAAAGGGAGCGUAGGCGGGGAUGCAAGUUGGGUGUUAAAUCUACCGGCUCAACCGGUAGUCACACUUAAAACUGCAGUUCUUGAGUGGAGGAGAGGCAGGCGGAAUGCCGGGUGUAGCGGUGAAAUGCGUAGAUAGUAGGAGGAACACCAGUGGCGAAGGCGGCAUGCUGGGCUUUUACUGACGCUGAGGCUCGAAAGUGUGGGGAGCAAACAGGAUUAGAUACCCCAGUAGUC
RNAcentral lists this ribosomal RNA (440 nucleotides) under uncultured bacterium. RNAcentral's name for it is "partial 16S ribosomal RNA". It matches the Rfam family "Bacterial small subunit ribosomal RNA", at positions 338 to 795 of the family's 1533-position model. The record is from RNAcentral.